AGACCCGAAACCCGGUGAUCUAGCCAUGGGCAGGUUGAAGGUUGGGUAACACUAACUGGAGGACCGAACCGACUAAUGUUGAAAAAUUAGCGGAUGACCUGUGGCUGGGGGUGAAAGGCCAAUCAAACCGGGAGAUAGCUGGUUCUCCCCGAAAGCUAUUUAGGUAGCGCCUCGUGAAUUCAUCUCCGGGGGUAGAGCACUGUUUCGGCUAGGGGGCCAUCCCGGCUUACCAACCCGAUGCAAACUGCGAAUACCGGAGAAUGUUAUCACGGGAGACACACGGCGGGUGCUAACGUCCGUCGUGAAGAGGGAAACAACCCAGACCGCCAGCUAAGGUCCCAAAGUCAUGGUUAAGUGGGAAACGAUGUGGGAAGGCCCAGACAGCCAGGAUGUUGGCUUAGAAGCAGCCAUCAUUUAAAGAAAGCGUAAUAGCUCACUGGUCGAGUCGGCCUGCGCGGAAGAUGUAACGGGGCUAAACCAUGCACCGAAGCUGCGGCAGCGACGCUGAUGCGUUGUUGGGUAGGGGAGCGUUCUGUAAGCCUGUGAAGGUGGCCU
Molecule: ribosomal RNA, 555 nt
Filed under: Salmonella enterica
Lineage: Bacteria; Pseudomonadati; Pseudomonadota; Gammaproteobacteria; Enterobacterales; Enterobacteriaceae
Description: partial 23S ribosomal RNA
Rfam family: Bacterial large subunit ribosomal RNA
Source: RNAcentral